GACGAGGACGAGCCGGACGAUGA
RNAcentral lists this unclassified non-coding RNA (23 nucleotides) under Mus musculus (house mouse). RNAcentral describes it as "oocyte_clustered_small_RNA13553". The record is from RNAcentral. Lineage: Eukaryota; Metazoa; Chordata; Mammalia; Rodentia; Muridae.